This 72-nucleotide transfer RNA is filed under the name Candidatus Levybacteria bacterium RIFCSPLOWO2_01_FULL_42_15. Its description in RNAcentral is "tRNA-Val". It matches the Rfam family "tRNA". Rfam says of the family: Transfer RNA (tRNA) molecules are approximately 80 nucleotides in length. Their secondary structure includes four short double-helical elements and three loops (D, anti-codon, and T loops). Further hydrogen bonds mediate the characteristic L-shaped molecular structure. tRNAs have two regions of fundamental functional importance: the anti-codon, which is responsible for specific mRNA codon recognition, and the 3' end, to which the tRNAs corresponding amino acid is attached (by aminoacyl-tRNA synthetases). tRNAs cope with the degeneracy of the genetic code in two manners: having more than one tRNA (with a specific anti-codon) for a particular amino acid; and 'wobble' base-pairing, i.e. permitting non-standard base-pairing at the 3rd anti-codon position. Lineage: Bacteria; Candidatus Levyibacteriota. The record is from RNAcentral.
GAGCUCAUAGCUCAGUGGCAGAGCGCUUCGUUGACAUCGAAGAGGUCGAUGGUUCAAAUCCAUCUGAGCUCA